GACGAACACUGGCGGCGUGCCUAAUACAUGCAAGUAGAACGCACAGGAUGCACCGUAGUUUACUACACCGUAUUCUGUGAGUUGCGAACGGGUGAGUAACGCGUAGGUAACCUGCCUGGUAGCGGGGGAUAACUAUUGGAAACGAUAGCUAAUACCGCAUAAGAACAUUUACUGCAUGGUAGAUGUUUAAAAGGUGCAAAUGCAUCACUACCAGAUGGACCUGCGUUGUAUUAGCUAGUAGGUGAGGUAACGGCUCACCUAGGCGACGAUACAUAGCCGACCUGAGAGGGUGAUCGGCCACACUGGGACUGAGACACGGCCCAGACUCCUACGGGAGGCAGCAGUAGGGAAUCUUCGGCAAUGGGGGGAACCCUGACCGAGCAACGCCGCGUGAGUGAAGAAGGUUUUCGGAUCGUAAAGCUCUGUUGUUAAGGAAGAACGAGUGUGAGAAUGGAAAGUUCAUACUGUGACGGUACUUAACCAGAAAGGGACGGCUAACUACGUG
RNAcentral lists this ribosomal RNA (505 nucleotides) under uncultured bacterium. RNAcentral's name for it is "partial 16S ribosomal RNA". It matches the Rfam family "Bacterial small subunit ribosomal RNA", at positions 28 to 507 of the family's 1533-position model. The record is from RNAcentral.